This is a long non-coding RNA of Pezoporus occidentalis (night parrot), 472 nucleotides long. RefSeq lists it as uncharacterized. The transcript is spliced from 2 exons. The record is from RefSeq and is a predicted model, not a curated record. NCBI's taxonomy places the organism in Eukaryota, Metazoa, Chordata, Aves, Psittaciformes, Psittacidae.
CCUAUUUUUCUCUCAGUCCAAGCUUACAACCAAGUUCCUGGGCUGCACCAUAUGUGUACUACCAGGACACCUCACAGUGAACACCAUCUUUGCUGCAAUGUUCAAAUGCCAGAGCAAGGUGACAUUUUUCAGUGCCAAAAGAAAGAAUGAGGAGGUUCUGGCUCUACAGAUAGUUAGAAAGGUUUUGGGUUUUCAAAUAAAGGAGCUGAAGAAGCUGAAAGAUUUAAGCAGCAUAUAUGGUACAAAAAACAAUCUGAAGUGAACACCACUCAGGUCACUGACUUUUGGAUUAACGUUUCUGUGCCAAAUCUAAAGAACAAGUUUUAUGCCUGCAGGUAGGAGCUGUAACACCAGUAAUCAUUCAAUUAUAGACAACAGGCAGAGCCUUUUGACCAGUUACAGGCAAAAUGGGGGAAAAUAUCCAGAAGACCUGAAGACCCUGCAUUCAGGUGUGCCCUUACAGCUCUCUUGC